Molecule: transfer RNA, 79 nt
Filed under: Bradyrhizobium sp. OAE829
Lineage: Bacteria; Pseudomonadati; Pseudomonadota; Alphaproteobacteria; Hyphomicrobiales; Nitrobacteraceae
Also listed under: 2 other names
Description: tRNA-Arg
Rfam family: tRNA
About the family: Transfer RNA (tRNA) molecules are approximately 80 nucleotides in length. Their secondary structure includes four short double-helical elements and three loops (D, anti-codon, and T loops). Further hydrogen bonds mediate the characteristic L-shaped molecular structure. tRNAs have two regions of fundamental functional importance: the anti-codon, which is responsible for specific mRNA codon recognition, and the 3' end, to which the tRNAs corresponding amino acid is attached (by aminoacyl-tRNA synthetases). tRNAs cope with the degeneracy of the genetic code in two manners: having more than one tRNA (with a specific anti-codon) for a particular amino acid; and 'wobble' base-pairing, i.e. permitting non-standard base-pairing at the 3rd anti-codon position.
Source: RNAcentral
UGACCUGUAGCUCAGUUGGAUUCAGAGCGCCGCGCUACGAACGCGGAGGGCGGGGGUUCGAGUCCCUCCAGGUCGGCCA